RNAcentral lists this ribosomal RNA (255 nucleotides) under uncultured bacterium. RNAcentral's name for it is "partial 16S ribosomal RNA". It matches the Rfam family "Bacterial small subunit ribosomal RNA", at positions 524 to 776 of the family's 1533-position model. The record is from RNAcentral.
UACGGGGGGAGCAAGCAUUAUUCAAAAUGAUUAGGCGUAAAGUGUUUGUAAAUAGUUUUUUAAGUUGAAAAAAAAAUAAUAAAGCUUAACUUUAUAAAUUUUUUCAAAACUUUUAAACUUGAGUAUAUUAUAGAAGAUAAUAGAAUUUUUAUUGUAGAGAUAAAAUAUGUUAAUAAUAAAAAGAAUUUCUAAAGCGAAGGCUUUUAUCUAUUUAUAUACUAACAUUGAAAAACGAAAGCUUGGGUAGCAAAAGGG